CAGUCGCCGCGGUAAUACGUAGGGGGCGAGCGUUGUCCGGAAUCAUUGGGCGUAAAGAGCGUGUAGGCGGCCCGGUAAGUCUGCUGUGAAAACCCGGGGCUCAACCCCGGGCGUGCAGUGGAAACUGCCGGGCUAGAGGGCGGCAGAGGCGAGUGGAAUUCCCGGUGUAGCGGUGAAAUGCGCAGAUAUCGGGAGGAACACCAGUAGCGAAGGCGGCUCGCUGGGCCGUUCCUGACGCUGAGACGCGAAAGCUAGGGGAGCGAACAGGAUUAGAUACCCCAGUAGUCCCUGUCUCUUAUAC
RNAcentral lists this ribosomal RNA (301 nucleotides) under uncultured bacterium. RNAcentral describes it as "partial 16S ribosomal RNA". It matches the Rfam family "Bacterial small subunit ribosomal RNA", at positions 509 to 807 of the family's 1533-position model. The record is from RNAcentral.